AGGAGCCGUAUACGAGGUCCGUACGUACGGUUCUGUGAGAGGGACAAUAAAGGAGGUCAUUCCUCCUUUAUUGCCCUACUCGAU
This is a non-coding RNA of Salinispira pacifica, 84 nucleotides long. NCBI's taxonomy places the organism in Bacteria, Pseudomonadati, Spirochaetota, Spirochaetia, Spirochaetales, Spirochaetaceae. The record is from Rfam.